GAGACGAUGCCUGUAGAAACCCGCUGUAGUGCAGGCGCGUAGGAGAGCGGAGUGAGGAGGAAUCUGCCUCCUGCCCUAUUAGCACUCCUAAUAAAAAGGGAAAAAAGUCUGUUUACCUAAUGGGCUAGUAGUAUAAGCCAUAGACUAACUUUAAAAAUGCACUUGAAGGAUUCGGGCAUCAGCAACAUGCAUCCAGAGCCAACUAGUUAGGAGAAAGGCACCGAUGUAUUGUGGACAUACGGGAUACCGAGUCAGUAUAAGAGCAAGCCUCCAAGUCCUGGGUCCUGUCUGAUACCAUGCCACUAUCCACGAUUAAUGGAAUCUUACUAAUAUGAAGCUUACUUACUAAAACCAUUGACCUGUCCUCCUUCUGUGACGCUGUAAAGAGUAUGAACGGAUGCUCUUGAAUCUCUUUUAACAAACUUAAAAUGUCCUCCAAUAUCCUGCAUAAACCACAUGCUGCCUUACCUACUCCUGGCCUUCCUGCACAUAGCCACCAACAUGAUCAUCCCAAAUCAAAAAUCUGACCAUGUCAGGCCCAACCUUCCUGGGCUCUCAACGGCCUAUGGCAUAAAAAACAAGCAUAGUCCUUCAUGAUCUGGCCUCUGCCCACCUCUAUGCUCAGCAAUGCCCCCACUGCCCCACCACGUGCUUAUUUUAAGUUUGUUCUCUGUAUACGCUAUCUACACACACUGGUUAAGAGCAUGGCUGCAUGUGAAUUCCAGCUCUGCCGCUAACUAGAAUGUGACCUUGGACAAGUUACUUAUUUUUCUGCAUUUAGGUUCCUCACCUAUAGAGUAGGAAAAAUAGUAGUGUCUAAAAUAAAGAGUUGAGAAAAUUAAAUAAUUAGUAGGUAUAACACACUUAGAAUAGCGUCUGGAAAUAAAUAUUAUUUUAGCUAUUCCUACUAUUAUCCAAUAUAAUCAUCAUGAAAUGAUGCAGAAUCAUAUUUCUACUUUUGGAUGCAAAAACCUGGUGCACAGAAAGAUUAAAUAACAACAUUAGCUAACAGAGAUGGGAUCUGAGCCCUGAUGUCUCUGAAAUCGGCAUGGAAUGCUGUCCACUCUGCCAGGCCUCCUCCUGCCCCCUCAUCAGAGGGAACUGCCUACUCUGUUGUGAAAGAGCCAAGGCAUCUCUCACCUCUGUUCCAUUGCCUGGAAACCCUGCAUCCCACCUCGGUCCAGCGAAGGCCUACUCUGCCUUCAGCAUUCAGCACAAGUAUCAUUUCAUCCCUGGGAGACUUCCAACCCUCUCCAAGUGGCUCAGGUGACUGCCUUGGUCUAAGCAUGCCCUGCACUUUCCGCUGUCACAAUCCAUGCUGCGCUUUAUCGCCGUUGCUUCUCUACCUCUAUGCCGUGACAUGCUUGAGGGUGGCAACCAGGACUUAUUUACUCCCCUAUCCCCUAAACAAAUGAGUGCAUAAGUGAACCUUAGUCGUGUCCUGUGGAAGCCUAUGAUCCCUGGCACUAGAAGGAGUAGCUGAGAGAACUCACGUAGGAAAAGGAGACACAUGGUGCCUUGGCCUGGUCAAUGGCCAAAUGGGUAACCUCCAGUUUCUUUACCCACACAAAAGUGAUAAUAAAACACCACUUGUAUGCAUUUAAGGAUUUGAAGGGGAGAUCAAAUGAGGAAAAUGAAUGGGACAGCCCAUGACAUCCAUGGGAGAUAUUCACAAAUGACAUAUUCUCUUCUCCCCCUCAUGUCCUUACAGCUAAUACCAGACUCAAUAUUUUCAGAUAUGCCCCAAGAGGACUUGAAAUUAAGUCUGUCCCUUGUCCAGUAAAACCCUAGUGUUUGUGUUGGCAUCUCUGUGCAUACUCCAGGGAGCCCUGGCAUGUGGUCAUUGACUGGGAACUUCUGUGUGGAAUCACCUCAACACAGAAACAAAUAUUGGGACUGUUUCUAAGUUUCCUCCAAUGGACCCCCUUAGCCUUGAAUUUACAGUAACAGAAGCACAGCCCGUGGGAGGACCCUGAAGGUCCAAGAGUCCAGACUCUACAUGACUCCGUCUGUAGAGGAUCCAACUGAGAAGCAGAAGUGGGGUGACUUGGGGCUGGCCCCGUGGCAGAGUGGUUAAGUUCACGCGCUCUGCUGCCAGUGGCCCACUGUUUCAUUGGUUCGGAUCUGGAGCGCGGACAUGGCACUGCUCAUCAAGCCACGCUGAGGCAGCGUCCCA
Equus asinus (donkey) is the source of this 2176-nucleotide long non-coding RNA. The record is from Ensembl. NCBI's taxonomy places the organism in Eukaryota, Metazoa, Chordata, Mammalia, Perissodactyla, Equidae.